GGGGAUGUAGCUCAUCUGGUAGAGCGCGUGCUUAGCAUCCAUCUGACGAGUGAAUCGUCAGCACAUGCUCCUGCACGAGGUACUGGGUUCGACUCCCAGCUUCUCCA
This is a non-coding RNA of Coniochaeta sp. PMI_546, 107 nucleotides long. NCBI's taxonomy places the organism in Eukaryota, Fungi, Ascomycota, Sordariomycetes, Coniochaetales, Coniochaetaceae. The record is from the annotation of a GenBank genome assembly.